RNAcentral lists this non-coding RNA (74 nucleotides) under Anaerobacillus arseniciselenatis. RNAcentral describes it as "Bacillus arseniciselenatis Bacterial small subunit ribosomal RNA". It matches the Rfam family "Bacterial small subunit ribosomal RNA", at positions 1 to 74 of the family's 1533-position model. The record is from Rfam by way of RNAcentral. Lineage: Bacteria; Bacillati; Bacillota; Bacilli; Caryophanales; Bacillaceae.
UUUAUGGAGAGUUUGAUCCUGGCUCAGGACGAACGCUGGCGGCGUGCCUAAUACAUGCAAGUCGAGCGGAGUUU